AACGAACGCUGGCGGCAGGCCUAACACAUGCAAGUCGAACGCUCCGCAAGGGGAGUGGCGCACGGGUGAGUAACACGUGGGAACCUACCUUCUGGUACGGAACAACCAAGGGAAACUUUGGCUAAUACCGUAUACGACCUCCGGGUGAAAGAUUUAUCGCCGGAAGAGGGGCCCGCGUCCGAUUAGGUAGUUGGUGGGUAAUGGCCUACCAAGCCGACGAUCGGUAGCUGGUCUGAGAGGAUGGCCAGCCACACUGGGACUGAGACACGGCCCAGACUCCUACGGGAGGCAGCAGUGGGGAAUAUUGGACAAUGGGCGCAAGCCUGAUCCAGCCAUGCCGCGUGAGUGAUGAAGGCCU
Molecule: ribosomal RNA, 358 nt
Filed under: uncultured bacterium
Lineage: Bacteria
Description: bacterial SSU rRNA
Rfam family: Bacterial small subunit ribosomal RNA
Source: RNAcentral